UUUCCGUAGGUGAACCUGCGGAAGGAUCAUUACAGAGGUUUAUCCUUAUUUUGUGAACUUAUUAUCUGGCAUUGAAGUUUAGCACGAGCUGAUCUGAUUUCAAUUUUUGAUUGAGGUCAAUCAGCAACGACGGCGACCACUUCAAUGCCAAACUUUACACAAUAUAACGUCUGAAGAAAAGAAAUGAAAAACUUUCAACAAUGGAUCUCUUGGCUCUGGCAUCGAUGAAGAACGCAGC
This 238-nucleotide unclassified non-coding RNA is filed under the name uncultured fungus. Its description in RNAcentral is "sequence contains ITS1, 5.8S rRNA gene". The stretch from base 190 to 238 matches the Rfam family "5.8S ribosomal RNA", at positions 1 to 49 of the family's 154-position model. Lineage: Eukaryota; Fungi. The record is from RNAcentral.